Molecule: ribosomal RNA, 253 nt
Filed under: uncultured bacterium
Lineage: Bacteria
Description: partial 16S ribosomal RNA
Rfam family: Bacterial small subunit ribosomal RNA
Source: RNAcentral
GACGUAGGGCGCGAGCGUUGUCCGGAUUUAUUGGGCGUAAAGAGCUCGUAGGCGGCUUGUCACGUCGACUGUGAAAACCCGCGGCUCAACUGCGGGCCUGCAGCCGAUACGGGCAGGCUAGAGUUCGGUAGGGGAGACUGGAAUUCCUGGUGUAGCGGUGAAAUGCGCAGAUAUCAGGAAGAACACCCGUGGCGAAGGCGGUUCUCUGGGACGGUACUGACGCUGAGACGCGAAAGCGUGGGGAGCGAACAGG